GAAGUACCUGCCUUAAAACAUAUUAGCUGCAUUUAACAUUCAGUUACUCUUUAUAUAGUUAGGUAGGAGUCAGACCAUGUUUGUUUUUAGCUGAAAAACAUUACACCAGAGAGACAGCCAGGUUCAUAUUGGAUAUGAGGAAGUUUUUUCAAAAACAGGAGCCACAUUCAGUCCAAAGAGGGAGAGAGGAAAGAGGAGAACAUGAGGAGAAAGUACAAGAUCAGGAAGAACCAGGUAAGAAAACAGACAGGGAGUACUAAAAGGCAAAACAAACUGUUAAACUGGCAAAGAAAAAAAACCCCCAACUAAUUUUACUCAUACAAUCUGGAAGUUGUGUUCUCCCUAUAUUAAAGCUGCUGAACAGAAUCUGCAAAACAAACUGGGUUGUCAGCCCUGGCACUGCAUUACUAUAUUGAGCUUCAGUCAGAGGAAGUCACGGUUGCCAAAAACUUUUUGAAGCUCAAGAGUGAGGCUGGUGCCAUUCCAGAUAUGUUAACAUUGUACAAUCUUCUGGAUAAUCAAAUCUUCCCCACACUGAAAACUGUUAUUCAGGUUGCCCUAACAAACCCAGUUAGCAGCUGUAGCUGUGAAAGGUCUUUUAGUGUCUUGCGUCAGCUCCAUACCUGGCUGAGAAGGACCAUGGGUCAAAGCAGACUCCAGCACCUGGCUGUGAUGUCAGUUGAGAAAGAUGCUUGAGAGACUUGACCACCAAAAUGUGAUAGACAGAUUUGCCAACCUCAAGGUGAGGCGACAUAGGUUAAAAGAAAAGAAAAAAUCUGCAGGGCCAUAGUAGUAUCUAAAGAUCUUUUCAUACACUGUAUACAUUGUACCAUAGGCCAAGGUGUCUCCAUUUUUCUAAUUUUUUAAAUAAUAUUUUGUACAUUUCAAGGACUCUUCUAUUUUUGGAGUGUAUUUUUAUGUAUCUGUAUUAUAUUAUACAUACACAUUAAAAGUGAAUCUCUGUCCCA
Oreochromis aureus is the source of this 968-nucleotide long non-coding RNA. Lineage: Eukaryota; Metazoa; Chordata; Actinopteri; Cichliformes; Cichlidae. The record is from Ensembl.